UACGUAGGGUGCAAGCGUUAAUCGGAAUUACUGGGCGUAAAACGUGCGCAGGCGGUUUUGUAAGUCAGAUGUGAAAUCCCCGGGCUUAACCUGGGACUGCGUUUGAAACUACAAGGCUAGAGUGUGGCAGAGGGGGGUGGAAUUCCACGUGUAGCAGUGAAAUGCGUAGAGAGUGUGGAGGAACACCGAUGGCGAAGGCAGCCCCCUGGGUUAACACUGACGCUCAGGCACGAAAGCGUGGGGAGCAAACAGG
RNAcentral lists this ribosomal RNA (253 nucleotides) under uncultured bacterium. Its description in RNAcentral is "partial 16S ribosomal RNA". It matches the Rfam family "Bacterial small subunit ribosomal RNA", at positions 524 to 776 of the family's 1533-position model. The record is from RNAcentral.